AAAUUCCAAAAUUUUUAUUUUUAAUAAUUUUGAUGAAAGUCAAUGGAUAAAGCAUCUCAGAUGGUUUUUUAUUCUUUUCUCUGAAUGAGAUUUCGAAUUAUACGCCCAUCUUACAACA
This 118-nucleotide small nucleolar RNA is filed under the name Tetrahymena malaccensis 436. Its description in RNAcentral is "Tetrahymena snoRNA TtnuHACA17". It matches the Rfam family "Tetrahymena snoRNA TtnuHACA17". Lineage: Eukaryota; Ciliophora; Oligohymenophorea; Hymenostomatida; Tetrahymenidae. The record is from Rfam by way of RNAcentral.